Molecule: non-coding RNA, 70 nt
Organism: Potamilus streckersoni
Lineage: Eukaryota; Metazoa; Mollusca; Bivalvia; Unionida; Unionidae
Source: the annotation of a GenBank genome assembly
UCUCCGGUCGUCUAGUGGUUAGAGCGUCUGCCUUGGAAGCUGGAGGUCGGGGGUUCGAUCCCCGGUAGAG